RNAcentral lists this ribosomal RNA (809 nucleotides) under uncultured archaeon. RNAcentral describes it as "bacterial SSU rRNA". It matches the Rfam family "Archaeal small subunit ribosomal RNA", at positions 85 to 879 of the family's 1478-position model. The record is from RNAcentral.
ACUGCUCAGUAACACGUAGUCAACCUGCCCUUUGGUCGAGACCAAUCUCGGGAAACUGAGGCUAAUGCUCGAUAGAUCAAGAUUCCUGGAAUGGGUUUUGGUCUAAAUGGAGUAGCAGCAUCUUGCUAUUUUCGCCAAAGGAUGGGACUGCGGCCGAUCAGGCUGUUGGUGGGGUAAAGGCCCACCAAACCAGUAACCGGUACGGGCUUUGAGAGAAGGAGCCCGGAGAUGGACACUGAGACAAGGGUCCAGGUCCUACGGGGCGCAGCAGGCGCGAAACCUUCGCAAUGCGCGAAAGCGCGACGAGGUUAUUCCGAGUGAUUUCCGCUGAGGAAAUCUUUUCUUAGAUCUAAAAAGUCUGGGGAAUAAGGGGAGGGCAAGUCUGGUGUCAGCCGCCGCGGUGAUACCAGCUCCUCGAGUGGUCAGGGCGUUUAUUGGGCCUAAAGCAUCCGUAGCCUGCUCAGUAGGUCUCCUGUUAAAUCCAACGGCUCAACCGUUGGUCUGCAGGAGAUACCGCUGGGCUAGGAGGCGGGAGAGGCGGACGGUACUCCGAGGGUAGGGGUAAAAUCCUUUGAUCCCCGGAAGACCACCAGUGGCGAAGGCGGUCCGCCAGAACGCGCUCGACGGUGAGGGAUGAAAACUGGGGGAGCGAACCGGAUUAGAUACCCGGGUAGUCCCAGCUGUAAACGAUGCGAGCUAGGUGACACGACGCCUUCGGGGCAUCGUGGUGCCGCAGGGAAGCCGUUAAGCUCGCCGCCUGGGGAGUACGGACGCAAGUCUGAAACUUAAAGGAAUUGGCGGGGGAGCAC